This 468-nucleotide ribosomal RNA is filed under the name uncultured bacterium. Its description in RNAcentral is "partial 16S ribosomal RNA". It matches the Rfam family "Bacterial small subunit ribosomal RNA", at positions 28 to 507 of the family's 1533-position model. The record is from RNAcentral.
GACGAACGCUGGCGGCGUGCUUAACACAUGCAAGUCGAACGGAAAGGCCCUGCUUUUGUGGGGUGCUCGAGUGGCGAACGGGUGAGUAACACGUGAGUAACCUGCCCUUGACUUUGGGAUAACUUCAGGAAACUGGGGCUAAUACCGGAUAGGAGCUCCUGCUGCAUGGUGGGGGUUGGAAAGUUUCGGCGGUUGGGGAUGGACUCGCGGCUUAUCAGCUUGUUGGUGGGGUAGUGGCUUACCAAGGCUUUGACGGGUAGCCGGCCUGAGAGGGUGACCGGCCACAUUGGGACUGAGAUACGGCCCAGAGUCCAACGGGAGGCAGCAGUGGGGAAUAUUGCACAAUGGGCGGAAGCCUGAUGCAGCAACGCCGCGUGCGGGAUGACGGCCUUCGGGUUGUAAACCGCUUUCGCCUGUGACGAAGCGUGAGUGACGGUAAUGGGUAAAGAAGCACCGGCUAACUACGUG